RNAcentral lists this ribosomal RNA (444 nucleotides) under uncultured bacterium. RNAcentral describes it as "partial 16S ribosomal RNA". It matches the Rfam family "Bacterial small subunit ribosomal RNA", at positions 354 to 796 of the family's 1533-position model. The record is from RNAcentral.
GUAGGGAAUAUUGGGCAAUGGUCGGAAGACUGACCCAGCCAUGCCGCGUGCAGGAAGACGGCCCUCUGGGUUGUAAACUGCUUUUAUCUGGGAAGAAAAAGGCCAUGCGUGGCAAAUUGCCGGUACCAGAUGAAUAAGCACCGGCUAACUCCGUGCCAGCAGCCGCGGUAAUACGGAGGGUGCGAGCGUUGUCCGGAUUUAUUGGGUUUAAAGGGUGCGUAGGCGGCUGAUUAAGUCAGCGGUGAAAGACUUCGGCUUAACCGGAGCAGUGCCGUUGAUACUGGUUGGCUUGAGUGUCGGAGGGGUACAUGGAAUUGAUGGUGUAGCGGUGAAAUGCAUAGAUAUCAUCAGGAACACCGAUAGCGAAGGCAGUGUACUGGCCGACAACUGACGCUGAUGCACGAAAGUGUGGGGAUCGAACAGGAUUAGAAACCCCGGUAGUCC